This 439-nucleotide ribosomal RNA is filed under the name uncultured bacterium. Its description in RNAcentral is "partial 16S ribosomal RNA". It matches the Rfam family "Bacterial small subunit ribosomal RNA", at positions 339 to 795 of the family's 1533-position model. The record is from RNAcentral.
CUACGGGGGGCACCAGUGAGGAAUAUUGCACAAUGGGGGGAACCCUGAUGCAGCAACGCCGCGUGGAGGAUGACGCAUUUCGGUGUGUAAACUCCUUUUAUAUGUCAAGAAAAUGACGGUAGCAUAUGAAUAAGCACCGGCUAACUCCGUGCCAGCAGCCGCGGUAAUACGGAGGGUGCAAGCGUUACGCGGAAUCACUGGGCGUAAAGGACGCGUAGGCGGGCUUGUAAGUCAGGUGUGAAAUCCUACAGCUUAACUGUAGAACUGCACUUGAAACUACGAGCCUAGAGUAUGGGAGGGGGAGAUGGAAUUAGUGGUGUAGGGGUAAAAUCCGUAGAUAUCACUAGGAAUACCUAAAGCGAAGGCGAUCUCCUGGAACAUAACUGACGCUAAGGCGUGAAAGCGUGGGGAGCAAACAGGAUUAGAUACCCGAGUAGUC